AUUGAACGCUGGCGGUAUGCUUAACACAUGCAAGUCGAACGGUAGCGGGUCUAGCUUGCUAGAUGCCGACGAGUGGCGGACGGGUGAGUAACACGUAGGAAUCUGCCUCAUAGUUUGGGAUAACGCGAGGAAACUCGCGCUAAUACCGGAUAAUCUCUACGGAGGAAAGUGUGGGACCAUUUGGCCACAUGCUGUGAGAUGAGCCUGCGCUGGAUUAGCUAGUUGGUGGGGUAAUGGCCUACCAAGGCGACGCUCCGUAGCUGGUCUGAGAGGAUGAGCAGCCACACUGUGACUGAGACACGGCCCAGUAUCCUACGGGAGGCAGCAGUGGGGAAUAUUGGACAAUGGGGGCAACCCUGAUUCAGCAAUACCGCGUGUGUGAAGAAGGCCUGCGGGUUGUAAAGCACUUUCAGUAGUGAGGAAGGCUUAAGUGUUAAUAGUACUUAAGAUUGACAUUAGCUACAGAAGAAGCACCGGCUAACUCUGUGCCAGCAGCCGCAGUAA
RNAcentral lists this ribosomal RNA (504 nucleotides) under uncultured bacterium. RNAcentral describes it as "partial 16S ribosomal RNA". It matches the Rfam family "Bacterial small subunit ribosomal RNA", at positions 30 to 523 of the family's 1533-position model. The record is from RNAcentral.